Molecule: long non-coding RNA, 2275 nt
Filed under: Rattus norvegicus (Norway rat)
Lineage: Eukaryota; Metazoa; Chordata; Mammalia; Rodentia; Muridae
Description: uncharacterized LOC102555822 (LOC102555822)
Source: RNAcentral
AUCCGAAGAACGAUCCUAGCAUAGCACUCGAGAUGCAUAGGCCGGAGGGCUGGUCUUAGGUUGGAUGCCUGAUUGAGUCAAGUAGUAAGUUCUAGAUCAGGCUGAGUUACAGAGUAAGGCCCUGUCUCAAAAAAGAAGACAAAGAAAGAGAGGAGAGGAGAGAGCACCUUAAUGCUUUUCUUGUAUGGGAAAUCAAGGUAAAGGGAUGUCUGUGCAGCCAAGGAAGCAAAGCAUGGCCAGACGAAUUGCCACAAAGUCCGAGAGAGGAAAAACUCACAAAGUGAGAGCAGAAGAGAGAGAUGAAUCUUCAGACCUGAAUCAACCCAGCCCAAGGAAGCCAAGAAACUGAGAGACAUAAGAGUAGACUUGGACCACGUAAGAUGCAGUCAGUGAGUCACAGAGAGCUCUUCUGUCCCUUCCUCCCAUCCUCUAAAGCCUUUGGAAGCCGCCGUGAGUUCCCCAGUCAGAUGCACUGAAACACUUUCAUGUGAACUUGAAUUGUUCUCUGAGGCCUCUCCUUCGGGUCUUGCCAAGGACAUUAUCUGUCUAUUUAAUACGUACGGAUGCUACUCUAUUAGAAGGCUAAAGAUUUUAUUAAUGAACACUUCUAAGAAACACUGAGAUGAUCUCCUUAACAUAAGAGCCCAAAGAAAGGGGGACCUGCCAGCUCCCAGUCAGGCAGUGCAGGCAGGGCUGCGCCCGCUCAGAGUGCCCACCCAAUCCUGCCUUUGGGGGGCAUCUAACCUUUCUUUUGCAGCUGCUCCUAUCCAGGAACGUUGUGCAAUUAUUGGAGUCUGGAAUACAAUGAGUGUACACUAGGGAGCUUCCACCCCAUCUGAGAAGGAGCUGGUCCACAUUCCCACCUGGUCAUCAAGAUGUCAGUCUCCCACCUCAAGAGUGGGUCUAGUUCGAAGCCUGCUCGGGAAUACAGCCCAAUUCAAACCUUCUAUCUUGCUGCUACUGGGAAAUAGCAUCAUCCCCGAGGCGUUGACCCACUACAAAGACAAUGACAGAAGAUGGCUGCUUCUCGUAUAAUACCUCACGAGAGAUGCCUGCAGCUUCCGUUUCCUGUGACUGACACCCCACUUGUCCUUGUGUGUUCAUGCAUCUCAUCAUUGCUAGACGAAUUUAAAGAAUACAGCACAUUCCUAGAGCUGAGUUAUUCAUUCUGGACUCUUGAAAAAAAAAUACACCAGAGGAAAAAAGGGGAGGAAUUUGCUGAGAGAGUUAUCCUCCCAGAAGAGCUGGAAAAACUCUGACAGAAACUCUCCAGAGAGUCGGGGAGCAUAGAUCCUCACCUACCUGAGUCACUGGCCCCUGAUAAAGUCCUUGUGAAGAUGUCCCCACAGAUUAGGAUAAGCCAUACAGGAAGAAACCUGUUACAUAGACAUCAUCACAACAAGUCACAGCUGGUUUGUACCAAGAUGUCCUCACCACGUUAGUGUCACCCACACAGGAUGGAACUGCUACACAGACAACACACCGGCCAAGCUGCCACUGGUUGGUGAUGUAGAGAAGCUCUGUGAAGAAAUGGUCCCUUUGACAUCUGGCUCAGACACACAAGCUAAAGAGAAUGUCAUGAUAAUUAGGCCAGGUAAAGUCACCUCUGCCUCCCCACUUGGAAAAGCUGUGUGAAAACACAGUGCCCAUAUCACUUGCGUCAACCAGACAGUCUUCAGUCUGCGACAGUGAUACUAUCAACUAAGCCAACAUUGGUUUGUGUUUUGGGAGAGCCUCAUAUAGCUGUGGCUCCCCACCAUACCUGAGUCAGCCUCACAGACUUCACAGACUGGAAUACAAUAACAAGGUGAGAAGCCCAGGCCUGAGAACAAGUGUGUUGAUCCCUGUCCAGGAGGAUGGUCCCAACUCAAUGAAGAAAUCUUCAUCCACUGGGUUUCUGACGUUAGGCUGGAUCCAUGUAUGCAAAUGUGACUCUCUGAGGGCUUGUCCCCCUUCUCGUCACUUAAAAAACCCCUAAAUCUUGUGUCUCUGGACAGAGUAGAUCGAAUCCAGAUUACGCCGCUCUUCUUGCAUGUGGUUCCCUGAUGGUUAGUGUUCACUCCUGGGUCACGAACAUUUCCCAGGGCUUUUACACUUUCCCAGUCUCUGAAAGAUAGAUAGAUGAUAGGUACAUAGAUAGAUAAAUCUGUGUCAGCAACUUUCAGGUAUACACUACAGCGUUUUGUGCUGCAUGUGCACCAUUUGACAUUAAGGUUGUCUUGAAAUUAACCAAGAAAUGGGCAUCUUCUCACACACUGAAGUUAAACUCCCUUUA